CAUUCUCUUUGUAUUGAAAAACAUUAGUAAACAUUGAAAUUGGUUUGCUGUUUGAUUGAGAAUUAAAUUGGAAAUUUUAAUACUUUUCAAUCGAAUUGAAAUCAAAUAAAAACGUCAUUAUGGAUACCAACGCGGAGAAGGAGAAAUUUGAAUGUGAAUCGACUGGAAACGCGGUUGCUGGUAUGAUAUGAGAAUUCCAAUUGUCACGAGAGGAGAGUGAGAAAAGAGAACGUGCAACUAUUGAGAAGUGGUUUCCUCAUUGGUCAUGGGAUGAAUAUGCAGCUAAAAUUGCCGAAACGGAAGCUCAAUUUCCACGACCACCAGAAGUUGUACAUUCAGAUCCCCAACGUCAGGCUGAAUUUGAAAGUAUGUGGUAUAUAUCACAGAAAAUGGAGGCAGCUAAGAAACGAUGGUCUGAAUUGAAUGCGGAAUUUGAAGCGUAUUGCCGGGGAAAAAGAAUGGAAUGAAAUUUAGAAUCUUUGUACGAUAUCACGCUAUCUACUCCAAAUGGAUCAUUUAUGGAUUUCUAUUACAAAUAUCAAUUCACAAACCGCUGUCAUUCAUUUGAGAUCCAAUGAAAAAGUUGAUUGCACGAAUUGCUGAUAAGUUUUUAUUUAACUUCAUUUUGAAUGAGUGUGUUAUCUGCUUCAAUUUAAAUCCUUAUCUCCUUUUCCCGGAGUAUAUGAUUCGCUGUACACGAUGCACUGACAUAGCAAUCCAUGCGAGCUGUUUUGCUCAUCAGGCGCAACAGAUUGGGCUACACCAUCGCUAUUCGUGUCCAUUGUGCACUGUGCAUACUGAUUAUGGUUGGAGAUAAUUGGGAGGAAGAAAAAAUGAUUGAAGGGAUCCGAUCGCUACAUGUUUGGGCUAACACAACCACGACGGACGAAGAAAAAGGAGAUUAUGCACGCAAUUCGACUCAAUUCCUGAAUCUUAUUCCACUUCAUAGUGGAAAUUUAUAGUAAUCGACACAUAAACGUUCCCUUUGUUACAUUGCAUUAAGAAUUCAAUUUGUUCUGAUCUACUGUUCAUGUGAAGAAGGAAUAAAUCCAACAUAGAAAUGUAGUGUGCAAUUGAAUCGAAAUCAAAUAAAAACGUCAUUAUGGCUACGAAUCCUGCCAAAAAAAGUUACGUACGAACUAACCGAAGAGUUUUUGGACUUGUUUCGAGUUGCAAAGCAUUGAAAUGAGGAAGUUGAACAGCAAUUUUACCGAAAAUACCUUCCAGAAGAAGAAUGGGCUGCAUAUCAGGCUCAAAUUGACAAAUCCUAAGGAAAUUAUCCACCUCCCGACCAACAACUUUCCGACCCUGUAGCUCAAGCGAGAUACGAAGAACUGUGGGAAAUGAAAUGUGAAGCAGCUGCAUCUUACAAACAAAUGGAACCCAUAGGACAAGAAAUGGUCAAAUGAAUGGAGGAAAGAGAAAGAGCAAAACAGUACAACGUGCAAAAUGGGAAUCGAAAUCCUUGGCCGGUCGAUCAAAAUGACUGUGAAACUCGAGAGAAAGCUAGAUAGUUCUCUAGAGAAAACGAAAAAUUGCACGGAAGAACCAUUGCAACUGUAACGACAUUCAUGAAGAUGCAUGAAAGGAAACUGAGCUUGGACCGUUUGCAAAAUUCUAUCCAGAGAAGAAUUGAUCAAAACAGAAGCGUGUGCAAAACGAAAAGCAGAAUCAAAAUCAAUUCGUAUGAAUCUAUUAGCAUGAUCUACCUCUUAUGAACUAAGAAAACCUAAUCAAUUGAAAUAAGAAUUCAUUUGGAUGUUCAAAAAGCAGUUAGAACCACAUAACGUAUCAUUCUUAGCUUCGUUCAAUGGAAGUGCGGAUGUUCUUGCCGAUGCUUUUACCUAUUCAAAUUUAUCAAAACAUCUUGAUUUCAUACAUCUUACAAUAGACACGAUUGAUGCGGAGAAGAACGAGAGCAACAGCAUUUCAGAUUUAACUUACAUGAUUAACCGCUUAGAAAAAUAUGGUUUGUCAUCCAAAAAAAAAUUGUGAUUGGAAUCCAGAAAUUCGGCGGAAAAGAAAUGGACGUUUUAAUGGCUAUUCGUUAUUAUUCUUUUGUUUGAAAAAAAAAAAAAAACGGACACAGCCGCCUAUGGCCCGAACCAAUUGCAGUUAGUCUGAUUGAAAACGAUACCCUUCGCUUUAAAUCGGCCCGUUCAAUUGCGAACCAAGUUCGAUUUGCCAUGAAACGUAAUUUAGUUGGUAUCAUGGUAUUCGCUGUAAAUUCCUAUGAUUAUUUUAAUCAUUCGGAAUUUGUGUCAGAUACAUUCGCCGAUUUCAAGCCAGCGACUGGUGUCACAUUGAAUUUUCCAAAACAAAAUAGUGGUAAUUAUCCACUCCUAUCGACCAUAGACACGGCUAUGAAUAUCGCACUGGACGAACUAGCUCAAGAAGUAGAACUACAAAAGAAAGUUGUUUUAAUUUAGAAAUUCGUUUAGAAGAAAACAAUAAACGCAUAAUUUUUCAAAUAAUUUAUUGCCAUCAAUUUUUUCCAGCAAACAAUCAAUUGAACAG
This is a long non-coding RNA of Sitodiplosis mosellana (orange wheat blossom midge), 2517 nucleotides long. RefSeq lists it as uncharacterized. The transcript is spliced from 3 exons. The record is from RefSeq and is a predicted model, not a curated record. NCBI's taxonomy places the organism in Eukaryota, Metazoa, Arthropoda, Insecta, Diptera, Cecidomyiidae.